CAGUUCGGAUUGUAGUCUGCAACUCGACUACAUGAAGCUGGAAUCGCUAGUAAUCGCGAAUCAGAAUGUCGCGGUGAAUACGUUCCCGGGUCUUGUACACACCGCCCGUCACACCAUGGGAGUCAGUAACGCCCGAAGCCGGUGACCCAACCAAACGGAGGGAGCCGUCGAAGGUGGGACAGAUGAUUGGGGUGAAGUCGUAACAAGGUAGC
This 212-nucleotide ribosomal RNA is filed under the name uncultured bacterium. RNAcentral's name for it is "partial 16S ribosomal RNA". It matches the Rfam family "Bacterial small subunit ribosomal RNA", at positions 1289 to 1500 of the family's 1533-position model. The record is from RNAcentral.